AUAUAACGUCACCGGGGAUGAUUCACAAGAGAGAAGAGAGAAAUCUAACCGAUCUAUUCCUUCGAAAAGGGGAAUCGUUUCUUAGCAGAGGUUAGAGCAGUUAGCGAGAUACUCUCCAAUCGUGUCUAUUUGUAUUUCGAAUCUCUCUAUUUUGUACGCGCGCUUUAUGGGGUAUGGUCUCUUUAAACUCUUUUUAACGAAUCGUUGAUCGCACGACAAGAUCUCGCGACGACGAUUCGAACGAAACGGCUUGAA
This is a long non-coding RNA of Apis dorsata (giant honeybee), 255 nucleotides long. RefSeq lists it as uncharacterized. The record is from RefSeq and is a predicted model, not a curated record. The transcript is spliced from 3 exons. Lineage: Eukaryota; Metazoa; Arthropoda; Insecta; Hymenoptera; Apidae.